AACAAGACUUUCUCACUGCAAUAUAACAGCAGUUUAUUUAUUCACAAUAUCAGUACUAAUGAAUUAGGAGUGUAUCAUUGUAUUCAACCUGUUUCACAAUCUGAUAUCAACACACCUCCCAACAUCAGCAGUGGAAUCAGACUUUACAUCCAGAGUCACUCAGCUGAGAAUCAGACAUCUGAAGAUGAAAAGCAGUCGAAUCAGUCAGCAGAUAAAUGAAAAGGUGUCACACUCUGGCGAAGUCUCUUCAUCAUAUUUAUAAUAAUCUGCAUUGUUACCUUCGCAGGUUUUAUAGUUUGCUGCUGCAAUAGAACUCCAAAAGCCCAAGCACAACCUCCAGACCCGUGUUUACAGCAGCAUCAGGGCAACACCAGCACUGUGGUAGGAUAUCUCUCUCUCUCUCUCUCUC
Long non-coding RNA from Neoarius graeffei (lesser salmon catfish), 409 nucleotides. RefSeq lists it as uncharacterized. The record is from RefSeq and is a predicted model, not a curated record. Lineage: Eukaryota; Metazoa; Chordata; Actinopteri; Siluriformes; Ariidae. The transcript has 3 exons.